AAUCAACGCUGGCGGCGUGCCUCAGACAUGCAAGUCGAACGCGAAAGUCUCCUUCGGGGGACAAGUAGAGUGGCGCACGGGUGAGUAACACGUAGGUAACCUACCUUCGGGUGGGGAAUAACCCCGGGAAACCGGGGCUAAUACCGCAUAAUGCAGCGGCACCUAAUGGUGACAGUUGUUAAAGCGGGGGAUCGAAAGAUCUCGCGCCUGAAGAGGAGCCUGCGGCGGAUUAGCUAGUUGGCAGGGUAACGGCCUACCAAGGCGACGAUCCGUAGCCGGCCUGAGAGGGCGGUCGGCCACACUGACACUGACAUACGGGUCAGACUCCUACGGGAGGCAGCAGUCGGGUAAUUUUGGGCAAUGGGCGAAAGCCUGACCCAGCAACGCCGCGU
RNAcentral lists this ribosomal RNA (392 nucleotides) under uncultured bacterium. RNAcentral describes it as "bacterial SSU rRNA". It matches the Rfam family "Bacterial small subunit ribosomal RNA", at positions 32 to 402 of the family's 1533-position model. The record is from RNAcentral.